AAGCGCUUGGCCGAGAUCGUGAGUUUUUUAACAAAUGACCUCAAAUCAGGCAAGAAUACCCGCUGAACUUAAGCAUAUCAAUAAGCGGAGGAAAAGAAACUAACAAGGAUUCCCCUAGUAACGGCGAGUGAAGAGGGAAGAGCUCAAAUUUUAAAUCUGCCUUGUUCCAAGGUCGAGUUGUAAUUUGAAGAAGCGUUUUCUUGGGCUCGCGGCCGGUAGAAGUUCUUUGGAACAGGACAUCAUAGAGGGUGACAAUCCCGUCCGUGACCGGUCGUGCGUUCAUCUACGAUACGCUUUCAAAGAGUCGAGUUGUUUGGGAUUGCAGCUCCAAACGGGUGGUAAACAUCACCUAAGGCUAAAUAUUGGCGAGAGACCGAUAGCGAACAAGUACCGUGAGGGAAAGAUGAAAAGAACUUUGAAAAGAGAGUUAAACAGUACGUGAAAUUGUUGAAAGGGAAACGAUUGAAGUCAGUCGUGCUGGCGCGAAAUCAACCCUCUCGUCUUGAGAUCACAUGGCGCGACGAGCCUCAAAACCGUCACGAAGCGUGAACUCUUGACGAAAAGGUGCACUUUCGUGUCCGCUGGUUAACAUCAAUUUCGAACGUCAUAAAAAGGCUGGAGGGAUGUGGCUCCUUCGGGAGUGUUAUAACCUUUAGCGGAAUGUGGCGUUCGGGAUUGAGGAUUGCAACGAAUACCUUCAGGGCUGUUCCACCUGGCUUCUCAUUGGUAUCCUGGUGACGACAGCUUGCUGACGUCGUUAGGAUCAGCUUCUGAACAGGCUAGAGUGUGAGCAAAUUCGUUAAGGAUGUUAACGUAAUGGCUUUAAACGACC
This 832-nucleotide ribosomal RNA is filed under the name Entrophospora etunicata. RNAcentral's name for it is "eukaryotic LSU rRNA". It matches the Rfam family "Eukaryotic large subunit ribosomal RNA", at positions 1 to 649 of the family's 3401-position model. The record is from RNAcentral. Lineage: Eukaryota; Fungi; Glomeromycota; Glomeromycetes; Entrophosporales; Entrophosporaceae.